This 1609-nucleotide long non-coding RNA is filed under the name Nicotiana tabacum (common tobacco). RNAcentral describes it as "long non-coding RNA (NTAB_LNC000419)". The record is from RNAcentral. Lineage: Eukaryota; Viridiplantae; Streptophyta; Magnoliopsida; Solanales; Solanaceae.
UGUGCUCGCCAGAGUCUAGUUUUAGCUCAUCGGAGUCAGUGUCGCUGCUUUAAUCCAGCUCAAACAGGUGUAAUUCAUUCUUUUCCUUCACUGUGUUCAACCUCGUGAUUCAUUUCUGGUAUCCGACUUAUUUUAAUCAUUUAAGUUUAGAUGUGGAUUCAUGUUCUAGUUGAAUUGUUGUGUUAAAUUGCGUAGUUUCUAGUUUAGCAGGUUUAAUUAAUUGUUGAUUCAUGCUUUUUUUAUUGGCAUAGUCAGUUCUGUCUAGUUUUUGUAUAUUAGCCAUUUGUCAAUUCAGUUUAGUUAGUUGUUGUUUUGUAAAUGUUUGAUCCUGCUAAGUGAAAGAAGGCAAUUGAUUUCAGAAGUUAGUAAUUGUUGAGGUAAAAGAAAAGGUUAAAAGAAGGGUAUUAACAGGAACUUGAGGGGGCUAAAGGAAAUAGAAAUCUUGGGAAUCAUGGGUGUAACUGACUUGUAAUAUUCUAUAAUAGGGCAGUAAAGGUUGGAAAGCAAUAAAACAGUAAACAUUAGGUAAAAAGCGGACUUAAGGGUUAAAACACAUAAAAUAAAAUGGACUGGAAAGAAAGAGAAAUAACAGAACAAGGCAGUUGGCAUUCUGCUAUAAGAGCAGUACAUUCCCUCAUGAUUACUCACGCAUUCACUGAUUAUUCUCACACAUUCACUGGCAAUUCAUUUUCUCACUCUCACUCACUCUCAUACACGCUAAAAACACCUUAGUAGCAGCUGGAAAAUAAAAAAUCCAGAUCUGAACUUCAAAAAAUUUCAAAAACCAAAAGCUGAAAAUAAAAGGAAUCAGAAGCUGAUCCAAAUCUCAGCUCAUUUACUUUACAUUCUCUGGGAGUUUCAAGGUGGUAGAAGUGUUGUCUGUUUGCUAUUGUUUGUUGGAUUUACUAGCUGGGCUUCCUCUCAUUUCUCCUUGCCUUUAUUUGGCCAUUUGCUGAUUGUUUCCUGCUAGUAGGUAUGUAAAGUUCCUCCUGUAACUCUUGUGAAUGUAGAAAUGAAGAGUUGAUGUGUUGAUUCCCUGACUAUGCCUACUUCUAUAUGUUCCUGAUAUUUGAAUGUGAGAUCUGUUCAUCUUUGCUUCUUGAUGAGUAUCUGAUUAUGCUUGUUUAUUUGAGCUGAAUAUCUAAGUUAGAAUUACUCACUAACUAGACUAGUUGCUAUUGAUAAUGUUCUAUUGCAUUUAAGCAUGUUGAUAAUCAACAUAUCGGCAUGUUUAAACAUCUCGUGACAUCAUUAGAUCUGUACCUAACUGUAUCUGUUGUUUUCUCAUGAUAAAAUUUCUGCUGUAGUAUAGAAUAUACAACAUGUUGAGACGUAGUUUGUUCGUCUAGCUAGAAACAGAAUUGGAGUUAGAGAUUUUCUGGUUAAAGAUGAAGCUGAAAGGAACGUCCAUCUAUGUCUCCCUAUUCUGAUUAUUGCGCAUUUGCAUAUAGAAAUCUGAAGAAGGAACAGAGAAAAGAUCAUUUGUAUACUGUUUUAAUUCAUUUAGUUUAGAAUUUGUGAAGCCAUUUUUCAUGAGUCUAAGGAUUGAAUUAGAGAGUUUGUAAUAACUUAGUUCAUUAGUUUUUUUUGUAAUUAAUCAGGGGUUACA